GAUCCCAGUUCUGUUUUGUAUGGACUCUUGCACCACUAACUUUUGCACUUCACCCCGGACUACAUUUCCCAUCAUCCAUUGCACUGAUUACACACACAGCUGCAGCCAAUCACUCACCCUACAUAAGCCAUGGACUUUCUCUCUCACUGCCGAGUAUUGUUGAGUGUUUAUGCUGUUGAGUGUAGCUACUUUACGGAGCCUGUUCCCAGUCCUAGUUUGUAUUUCCAGUUCUAGUCUAUGUCUAGACACUUGUUGUUUUCCUGUGAUUGCCUAGUGAUGGGCAGAUCGAGGCUUCAUGAAACACUGAAGCAGUUAAAGCAAAUGUGUCGAGGCUUCGAAACAAUCUGACACCGUCUCCACGGUGACCCCUAGUGGUCAGAACAGUGCAAAUGCAACAAAACUCAGGCCAAACAUGCAUAAAAACACCUUUUACAAAUGUAUUGCAAAAGUUUUAUUGAAAGUAAAAUCUAUCAAAUGCAAUUAACUAAUCAUCUAAUACGAUUACAUAUAGAGUGUCUGUAUAAUAUGUGUUUUUUUUAAUCAAUUUUCAAGGUUUGUUUCUCUGUUCCAUGGCUCAAGCUAAACAGGCAAAUAAGAGAUUAAUAACUACCAUUAUUCAUUUUAAUUAUUCUAAUGUCUGAUUAAAACAUCUACAAAUGUAUAAAACUGAUCGGAGAUCAGGUAAAACUAAAGGGUAAAGCCCAUAGACACUUGUUCAAUAGUUCUCAGUGAAUCUGAAUGAUUCAUGGGUUCACUUUAUCUUCACCCUCUACCGGUGAACCAUUGAAAUUUCAAACUGUUUUUAAACGUUUCGAAACAGUGAUGACGUAAUGAAGCCUCGUUUAAAAAAGCAAAGGAAUGGAUGGAUGAAAUGUCAGCAAUUUUUUUUUAAUGUUUAUUUCUUUACUUUAUUUCCUACUCCAGACAGAAGACCUAAUCCAGCGGCUGGAAAAAAUCCUGUCUGUGCCUGGAACUGUAGCUGAGAAACAGCUAUUUAUCACCGAGGUGAUUUUGCCAGAGGUUCUGAUUCAGUUGUUGCAAAGCCAAAACAUGUGCAGAUACAGAGCCGAAUCUGUGCUUCUAAAGUGCACAUCUUUCCAUGGAAAGAAAAGUGCUUCAGAGAUAACAUCAGGAGACACAGAAAGCACUGAAGAGGAAAACCCUUUUUUGAAAGACAUCAUCCUGCAGCUGACUGGUGCUGGAGUACAUGUCCCAAGUGUCCUUUUCAUGGACAAAGAGGAACAAGUACAAUCCCGUGAAAAACUGAACAGCUGGACGGGUGAAUUGGAUGAAAUUCACCAGCUGAACUUUUUACAUUUGUCUUUGCAAAAAAAGAGGACUUUGAAAAGUUCUGCAUUGAAUUUAGAGAUACAAGAAGGUACAGACUUUUCGCCAGGUUUGAGACGCAGUGAUUAAUGCUCAAUUAAUGCACAGUUCCCCAUUUUUUUACUUUUUACAUUUUUACAAAUAGAUUUCAUAAAAGUUUAAUAAAGAGUGAACAACAGCAACAACUUAACAGUGUCGUCAUUACUGCAACCUUUCUGCCAUAUAUAAUGCUUUUUGGGUUUUUUUAUUGUAUUUUUACAGUAAAAACAUUCCAUUAAAUUAUAUAACUGGACAGUGACAGGUGCUACAGAGAGCAACAGCUGCCGGAGAAAGUCUGUGGCUGAAGAUGCCACAGUUUCAGCUUUAGCACAUCAGAAACUUUUCUGUAUUAACUGAAUAACAGUAUAUAUUCAUGUAAUGACAUUUCAAAACAAUAUGUAAUGCACUGCAUUAAUAUUUUAUUAAG
Molecule: long non-coding RNA, 1792 nt
Organism: Ctenopharyngodon idella (grass carp)
Lineage: Eukaryota; Metazoa; Chordata; Actinopteri; Cypriniformes; Xenocyprididae
Exons: 4
Source: RefSeq, a predicted model, not a curated record